This is a non-coding RNA of Oncorhynchus mykiss (rainbow trout), 1364 nucleotides long. The record is from RefSeq and is a predicted model, not a curated record. NCBI's taxonomy places the organism in Eukaryota, Metazoa, Chordata, Actinopteri, Salmoniformes, Salmonidae.
CCUGUUGCACCACCAGGGUGCGCUGUCAUAUCUUUGAGGUGAUAGACCUAGGGAACAGCCUGCUCAGUCUGGAGGAAUACAACUUCUUUGGGGAGAAGUGUGACAGGGAUGCCUGGGCUGCAGUGUUGUGGUCCGGUCUCGAGGUCUCAGUGUCAAAUACAUUUUUACUCGGAUCUUGGACAAUGAGGACUUGUAAUUUCUUCCCGAGACCAGCGGAGUACAAAACAAAUAAUUAUCAGCUCCAAUUAAAUCCCUCGCCCCCCUCCCGGUCUCGGCCUUGACUCGGUCCCCCCUCUGGCCUUGGUCCUGACUCAUAUUUGAUUUGCUCUGGUCUUGGUCUCAAACACUGCUGGGCAGUCUGCAAAGUGUGACUCCCUUCCAGAGAACUUUGACACCAGGAAGAACCAGCUGUUGUCAGAUCUUCAUGGAGCUCAACAUGAUGGAGGCCAGUGAGAGGGAGGGAGAACACACAGACCUCAGGUAGUGUACUUUGGAGCCGGUCAGUCUGGAGUCAAGCAACAGGAUGCUGAACACGGCCCUGCAGAGGCCCAUCACGGCCAGGUCAUAGGUCAAAACUCUCAGGGAUCAGGAGAACGUCCUGGUCUACACCUACAGAGGAUAACACAGGAUCUCAACUGUCAAUUCCAACUAGGUGAAGGACUAGAAUCAACACUAUUUAGAGGUUUAUUCAACCAACAAGAUGAUCUUCCACUAGAGCAGGGUUUCCCAAACUCGGUCCUGGGGCCCUACUUUGGUGCACAUUUUGUUUUUUGCCCAAGUACUACACAGCUGAUUCAAAUAAUAAAGGCUUGAUGAUGAGUUGGUUAUUUGAAUCAGCUGUGUAGUGCUAGGGCAAAAAACUAAACGUGCACCCAAGUGGGGCACCAGGAACGAGUAUGGGAAACACGAGAGCCCUCAAACUUAACUCUGGACCUCGAAGCCAGUUUCAUUGCUUUGUUUCAUUGUUCCCCUCUAAUCAAUGACUGAUUUAGACCUGGGACACCAGGUGGGUGCAAUUAAUUAUCAGGUAGAACAGAAAACCAGCAGGCUCCGGACCUUGUAGGGCAAGAGUUGAAUACCCCUGCACUCUAAUGAGUGUAAUACCUUCUAAGUAUUUUUGAUACACACUAGCUGCUGUUGAGAAACAAACAUGGCUGUUUCUUCAUGUAUCUGAUCCAUGUUUAACCAACUCUGUUUUCAUAUAUUUUGUGUGUGUGUGUAUAUGAUAGACCUCCAAAGUAACACAUUACUGCAAGUUUAGAACUAGUGAGUGUCUAUCACAUGAUGCUGUCAUUGAUAUGCAGCUAUCGCCUCCAUAAACAUGGCAACAGGAUCCCCCUGUGAGAAUGCCCUGGUCACAUGAU